RNAcentral lists this long non-coding RNA (579 nucleotides) under Fukomys damarensis (Damara mole-rat). RNAcentral describes it as "lncRNA (ENSFDAG00000024307.1)". Lineage: Eukaryota; Metazoa; Chordata; Mammalia; Rodentia; Bathyergidae. The record is from RNAcentral.
CUCUACUCAGUUCUAUCUGAUGCUAGAACUAGUAAUAAUAGUGCAUUUAAAUAGUUCUAGUCUGAAACGUGAGAUCCUGGUCACUGCUCACAUGUUUGUUUUCUCAGUCCAUUAUUUGGGUAUGGUCAGAAAUUAACCUAGAAGAUACCAGGAACAGCACUGCAAGAGACACAGCAGGAGGCUGGACAGCUCGCUGGAUCUACACCACUGGGGAAUCUGAGGCUUCCUGGGGGAGGUGAGGAGCUGCAGCUCAGUGUCAUCACUACUGCAAUUGAAUGCUCCAGGUACAUGAAGGAAGGCUUGGGAAAUCUUCCCACAGGAUGGUAUCUGUGCCUAAAUCUGAAAGGAAAGUACAAACUAGACAGAGAUUUACAGUUAAUCAUUGAAAUGUUACCUUCGACAAGGUUGUCAACACUGCCAGACAGACACAGCACCUAUCUUUAGCCAGAGAAUGUUCUGGAGCCAUCGAGGAGAUCUAGGGACUACCCAGACUGUGGGUUGCUGUGUUGAUGGUCACCCUCUGGGCAUCCUAGGUGACAACAAUAAGGUGGUGGAAUAUCCAAUCAGCUAGGGCACAUA